UGGGGAAUAUUGGACAAUGGGCGCAAGCCUGAUCCAGCAAUGCCGCGUGAGUGAUGAAGGCCUUAGGGUUGUAAAGCUCUUUUACCCGGGAUGAUAAUGACAGUGCCGGGAGAAUAAGCCCCGGCUAACUCCGUG
This 135-nucleotide ribosomal RNA is filed under the name uncultured bacterium. RNAcentral describes it as "partial 16S ribosomal RNA". It matches the Rfam family "Bacterial small subunit ribosomal RNA", at positions 355 to 507 of the family's 1533-position model. The record is from RNAcentral.